GAUGAACGCUGGCGGCGUGCUUAACACAUGCAAGUCGAACGGAAAGGCCCUGCUUUUGUGGGUUGCUCGAGUGGCGAACGGGUGAGUAACACGUGAGUAACCUGCCCUUGACUUUGGGAUAUCUUCAGGAAACUGGGUCUCAUACCCGAUAUGAGCUCCUGCUGCAUGGUGGGGGUUGGAAAGUUGCGGCGGUUGGGGAUAGACUCGCGGCUUAUCGGCUUGUUGGUGGAGUAGUGGCUUACCAAGGGUUAGACGGAUAGCCGGCCUGAGAGGGGAAACGGGGACAAGAGGACUAAGAGAGGGAGCAGACGGGAACGGGAGGCAAUGGUGGAAAGUAUGACACAGUAGGGGGGAGCGUGAGAAGGCGGCGUCGGGGGCGGGAUGACGGCCUUCGAGUUAUGAACCGCUUUCGACUGUGACGAAGCGUGAGUGACGGUAAUGGAUAAAGAAGCACCGGCUAACUACGUG
This 468-nucleotide ribosomal RNA is filed under the name uncultured bacterium. Its description in RNAcentral is "partial 16S ribosomal RNA". It matches the Rfam family "Bacterial small subunit ribosomal RNA", at positions 28 to 507 of the family's 1533-position model. The record is from RNAcentral.